This is a long non-coding RNA of Gopherus evgoodei (Goodes thornscrub tortoise), 146 nucleotides long. RefSeq lists it as uncharacterized. The transcript is spliced from 3 exons. Lineage: Eukaryota; Metazoa; Chordata; Testudines; Testudinidae. The record is from RefSeq and is a predicted model, not a curated record.
AAGGCAGUGGCCGGUACAUCCUCCUCGGGCCCGCCCCCUAUCGACCUCCGAGCUCACCAGGAUCUUUUGCGGCGAGUCGCCUUAAAUAUCAAUCUCCAGGUGGAGGAGGUCCCUGAGGUUGAGGACCCGGUGGUCAGCGUCCUCUC